UCACUGGACUGAGAGGAGUAUCU
This 23-nucleotide microRNA is filed under the name Oreochromis niloticus (Nile tilapia). Its description in RNAcentral is "oni-miR-10632". The record is from miRBase by way of RNAcentral. Lineage: Eukaryota; Metazoa; Chordata; Actinopteri; Cichliformes; Cichlidae.